Molecule: transfer RNA, 38 nt
Filed under: Chusquea sp. Ferreira 2065
Lineage: Eukaryota; Viridiplantae; Streptophyta; Magnoliopsida; Poales; Poaceae
Description: partial tRNA-Ser
Source: RNAcentral
UUUCAGACCGGAGCUAUCAACCACUCAGCCAUCUCUCC